AGAACGAACGCUGGCGGCAUGCCUAACACAUGCAAGUCGAACGAGACCUUCGGGUCUAGUGGCGCACGGGUGCGUAACGCGUGGGAAUCUGCCCUUGGGUUCGGAAUAACAGCGAGAAAUUGCUGCUAAUACCGGAUGAUGACGUAAGUCCAAAGAUUUAUCGCCCAAGGAUGAGCCCGCGUAGGAUUAGCUUGUUGGUGAGGUAAGAGCUCACCAAGGCGACGAUCCUUAGCUGGUCUGAGAGGAUGAUCAGCCACACUGGGACUGAGACACGGCCCAGACUCCUACGGGAGCAGCAGGUGGGGAAUAGUUGGACAAGUGGGACGAAAGCCUGAUCCAGCAAUCGCCGGCGUGAGUGAGUAGG
RNAcentral lists this ribosomal RNA (364 nucleotides) under uncultured soil bacterium. Its description in RNAcentral is "bacterial SSU rRNA". It matches the Rfam family "Bacterial small subunit ribosomal RNA", at positions 26 to 413 of the family's 1533-position model. The record is from RNAcentral.